Molecule: ribosomal RNA, 243 nt
Filed under: uncultured bacterium
Lineage: Bacteria
Description: partial 16S ribosomal RNA
Rfam family: Bacterial small subunit ribosomal RNA
Source: RNAcentral
CUUAGUGGCGGACGGGUGAGUAACGCGUGGGUAACCUGCCUCAUACAGGGGGAUAACAGUUAGAAAUGACUGCUAAUACCGCAUAAGACCACGGUACCGCAUGGUACAGUGGUAAAAACUCCGGUGGUAUGAGAUGGACCCGCGUCUGAUUAGGUAGUUGGUGGGGUAACGGCCUACCAAGCCGACGAUCAGUAGCCGACCUGAGAGGGUGACCGGCCACAUUGGGACUGAGACACGGCCCAG